This 444-nucleotide ribosomal RNA is filed under the name uncultured bacterium. Its description in RNAcentral is "partial 16S ribosomal RNA". It matches the Rfam family "Bacterial small subunit ribosomal RNA", at positions 354 to 796 of the family's 1533-position model. The record is from RNAcentral.
GUAGGGAAUAUUGGGCAAUGGUCGGAAGACUGACCCAGCCAUGCCGCGUGCAGGAAGACGGCCCUCUGGGUUGUAAACUGCUUUUAUCUGGGAAGAAAAAGGCCAUGCGUGGCAAAUUGCCGGUACCAGAUGAAUAAGCACCGGCUAACUCCGUGCCAGCAGCCGCGGUAAUACGGAGGGUGCGAGCGUUGUCCGGAUUUAUUGGGUUUAAAGGGUGCGUAGGCGGCUGAUUAAGUCAGCGGUGAAAGACUUCGGCUUAACCGGAGCAGUGCCGUUGAUACUGGUUGGCUUGAGUGUCGGAAGGGUACAUGGAAUUGAUGGUGUAGCGGUGAAAUGCAUAGAUACCAUCAGGAACACCGAUAGCGAAGGCAUUGUACUGGCCGACAACUGACGCUGAUGCACGAAAGUGUGGGGAUCGAACAGGAUUAGAUACCCUUGUAGUCC